This 519-nucleotide ribosomal RNA is filed under the name uncultured Sphingobacterium sp. Its description in RNAcentral is "bacterial SSU rRNA". It matches the Rfam family "Bacterial small subunit ribosomal RNA", at positions 9 to 524 of the family's 1533-position model. Lineage: Bacteria; Pseudomonadati; Bacteroidota; Sphingobacteriia; Sphingobacteriales; Sphingobacteriaceae. The record is from RNAcentral.
GAGUUUGAUCGUGGCUCAGGAUGAACGCUAGCGGCAGGCUUAAUACAUGCAAGUCGUGGGGCAGCACAGGUAGCAAUACUGGGUGGCGACCGGCAAACGGGUGCGGAACACGUACGCAACCUUCCCAAAACUGGUGAAUAGCCCUCCGAAAGGAGGAUUAAUACACCGUAACAUAAUGAAAUGGCAUCGUUUUAUUAUUAUAGCUCCGGCGGUUUUGGAUGGGCGUGCGCCUGAUUAGGUAGUUGGCGGGGUAACGGCCCACCAAGCCUGCGAUCAGUAACUGGUGUGAGAGCACGACCAGUCACACGGGCACUGAGACACGGGCCCGACUCCUACGGGAGGCAGCAGUAAGGAAUAUUGGUCAAUGGACGCAAGUCUGAACCAGCCAUGCCGCGUGAAGGAUGAAGGUCCUCUGGAUUGUAAACUUCUUUUAUAGGGGACGAAAAAAGGGAUUCUUUCUCACUUGACGGUACCCUAGGAAUAAGCACCGGCUAACUCCGUGCCAGCCGCCGCCGUAAC